AUUGAACGCUGGCGGCAUGCUUUACACAUGCAAGUCGAACGGUAACAGGUUAAGCUGACGAGUGGCGAACGGGGGAGUAAUGCAUCGGAACGUGCCCGGUCGUGGGGGAUAACGCAGCGAAAGCUGCGCUAAUACCGCAUACGAGCUAAGGAUGAAAGAGGGGGAACGUACGGCCCCGGGCGAUCGGAGCGGCCGGUGUCAGAUUAGGUAGUUGGGGGGGGAAAGGCUCACCAAGCCAAAGAUCUGUAGCUGGUCUGAGAGGACGACCAGCCACACUGGGACUGAGACACGGCCCAGACUCCUACGGUAGGCAGCAGUGGGGAAUUUUGGACAAUGGGCGAAAGCCUGAUCCAGCAAUGCCGCGUGCAGGAAGAAGGCCUUCGGGUUGUAAACUGCUUUUGUACGGAGCGAAAAGGUCUCCUCUAAUACAGGGGGCUCAUGACGGUACCGUAAGAAUAAGCACCGGCUAACUACGUGCCAGCCGCCGCCGUAA
This 493-nucleotide ribosomal RNA is filed under the name uncultured bacterium. RNAcentral's name for it is "partial 16S ribosomal RNA". It matches the Rfam family "Bacterial small subunit ribosomal RNA", at positions 29 to 523 of the family's 1533-position model. The record is from RNAcentral.